This 326-nucleotide unclassified non-coding RNA is filed under the name Hevea brasiliensis (rubber tree). Lineage: Eukaryota; Viridiplantae; Streptophyta; Magnoliopsida; Malpighiales; Euphorbiaceae. The record is from RNAcentral.
UAUCAGGGGAAUAAGGAUCUCCAUUGAAGAAGUCAGGAACUACAACAUAGAAUCCAGCAGCUGCAAUCUUGUCAGCUAACUUCCUGCAUGAUAGAUAUUAGUUGGCAUCAGGUCUCAAAUGCUGUCAUUAGCAUGAAAAAUAAUAGCAAACUACAUAGACAGUAGACACACACAUGACAAACAGUAGAUCAUUCUUUUUGAGCUCACAGAAGGAAAUGAAGAAAUUAGGUUUUAGAGGUAUAAAAAGGUGUAACACAUGGAUUAUGGAGGUAGACUUUGCCUCCCAGCAUGCAGGCAUGAACAUAUCCAGAUAAAACACAAAGAAC